RNAcentral lists this ribosomal RNA (253 nucleotides) under uncultured bacterium. Its description in RNAcentral is "partial 16S ribosomal RNA". It matches the Rfam family "Bacterial small subunit ribosomal RNA", at positions 524 to 776 of the family's 1533-position model. The record is from RNAcentral.
UACAGAGGAGCCAAGCGUUGUCCGGAUUGACUGGGCGUAAAGCGCACGCAGGCGGUUGCGCGCGUGGGGUGUGAAAUCUGGCCGCUUAACGGCCAGGCGCCAUCCCAUACGGCGCGACUGGAGCGAUGCAGAGGUCGGUGGAAUUGCCGGUGUAGUGGUGAAAUGCGUAGAUAUCCGGAGGAAUACCAAAGGCGAAGGCAGUGUCCUGGGGAGUGUCUGACGCUCAGGCGCGAAAGCUAGGGGAGCGAACAGG